AUCAAUUUAAACACAGAAAAAUCUUUGGAGCGAUAGAUUGGCCAAAACACAAUACCGAUAAUCAACACUCUUUAUCUUGAGCAUGACCACCAAACUGGUAGUGUAAAACUAACAAAAAAUGACUGGGCAUCCUUGCUGGGCGUUGAGUAGUUGAAAAGCCGAGUUACCGGCAAUAAUUAGUAAAAAAAUGACAAUUGAUGCAACAUGUCAAAUCAAACUGCCACAACUAAUGUAUGAGAUACUUCUAUUCCAAAUUAUUUUUUCACACAAUAUCCAUUAGGUCCCGGGCAAAAUAUAGGUAAUUCAAAUUAAACCUAAUGAAGAGGCAGGAGAGGGGGCAGGUAAAGGAGAACGGGUCAUUGUCAUCGACAACAUCUCAGCAGGAGAGGGUUUCAGACAGUCUUUCUUGCACGCAUACAUGGACGGGUAGCACUCUAGAUUCGCAAGGCAACACAAGCAAAGCCAUCCAUCUUUGCACGGUUUACCAUUGACACAAAGCCCAUGCGGAAAAUUGAUCUUCUCAUCAUCCACGUCUUCUUCGAUGAUCCGACCUAUGGUACAAUAAUCAAUUAGCCGUUGACAUGGUAACUGAUCUCUCUGUGGAAGUGCAUACAUUGAGCAGUAGGUGCGGAGCAUAGGAGAUGGAGAGACAGUAGCAAGGCUAGACCGUAGAUGCGAAUUGUGUACCUGUCCAUCCUCUUCUAAUGCAGUUUGAAAAUGCUAGGGAAAAGAUACAC
This 737-nucleotide long non-coding RNA is filed under the name Triticum aestivum (bread wheat). RNAcentral's name for it is "long non-coding RNA (TAES_LNC021611)". Lineage: Eukaryota; Viridiplantae; Streptophyta; Magnoliopsida; Poales; Poaceae. The record is from RNAcentral.